GUAAUACUUCCUUCGUCUUAAAAUUUUUGUCUUAUAUUUUUUUAGAUACAGAUGUAUCUAGUCAAGUUUUAGUAUUUAGAUACCUUCAUUUUUAAAUAAAGCAAAGACAAGAAUUUUGAAACGGAGGGAGUACUCC
RNAcentral lists this microRNA precursor (136 nucleotides) under Hordeum vulgare. Its description in RNAcentral is "microRNA MIR1122". It matches the Rfam family "MIR1120/MIR1122 microRNA precursor family". The record is from RNAcentral. Lineage: Eukaryota; Viridiplantae; Streptophyta; Magnoliopsida; Poales; Poaceae.